UGAUAUCAUUGAUUAGGCUACUUAAAA
Molecule: non-coding RNA, 27 nt
Filed under: Bombyx mori (domestic silkworm)
Lineage: Eukaryota; Metazoa; Arthropoda; Insecta; Lepidoptera; Bombycidae
Source: RNAcentral